RNAcentral lists this ribosomal RNA (756 nucleotides) under Burkholderia sp. USMB20. RNAcentral describes it as "bacterial LSU rRNA". It matches the Rfam family "Bacterial large subunit ribosomal RNA", at positions 1115 to 1864 of the family's 2925-position model. The record is from RNAcentral. Lineage: Bacteria; Pseudomonadati; Pseudomonadota; Betaproteobacteria; Burkholderiales; Burkholderiaceae.
GCCACCCUUUAAAGAAAGCGUAAUAGCUCACUGAUCGAGUCGUCCUGCGCGGAAGAUGUAACGGGGCUAAGCUAUAUACCGAAGCUGCGGAUGCGUGCUUAGCACGCAUGGUAGGAGAGCGUUCUGUAAGCCUGCGAAGGUGUCUCGGAAGGGAUGCUGGAGGUAUCAGAAGUGCGAAUGCUGACAUGAGUAGCGAUAAAGGGGGUGAAAGGCCCCCUCGCCGUAAGCCCAAGGUUUCCUACGCAACGUUCAUCGGCGUAGGGUGAGUCGGCCCCUAAGGCGAGGCAGAAAUGCGUAGCUGAUGGGAAGCAGGUCAAUAUUCCUGCACCAUUGUUAGAUGCGAUGGGGGGACGGAUCGCGGAAGGUUGUCCGGGUGUUGGAAGUCCCGGUCGCUGCAUUGGAGAAGGCGCUUAGGCAAAUCCGGGCGCAGGAUUCAAGGGUGUGGCGCGAGCUUCUUAGGAAGCGAAGCAAUUGGAAGUGGUUCCAAGAAAAGCCUCUAAGCUUCAGUCUAACGAUGACCGUACCGCAAACCGACACAGGUGGGCGAGAUGAGUAUUCUAAGGCGCUUGAGAGAACUCGGGAGAAGGAACUCGGCAAAUUGGUACCGUAACUUCGGGAUAAGGUACGCCCUUGUAGCUUGAUGCGCCUGCGCGCAAAGGGUGAAGGGGUUGCAAUAAACUGGUGGCUGCGACUGUUUAAUAAAAACACAGCACUCUGCAAACACGAAAGUGGACGUAUAGGGUGUGACGCCUGCCC